UACAGAGGGUGCAAGCGUUAAUCGGAAUUACUGGGCGUAAAGAGUGCGUAGACGGUCAUGUAAGUCGGGUGUGAAAGCCCCGGGCUCAACCUGGGAAUUGCAUUCGAGACUGCAUGGCUAGGAUGCGGAAGAGGGAAGCGGAAUUUCCGGUGUAGCGGUGAAAUGCGUAGAUAUCGGAAGGAACACCAGUGGCGAAAGCGGCUUCCUGGUCCAGCAUCGACGUUCAGGCGCGAAAGCGUGGGGAGCAAACAGG
Molecule: ribosomal RNA, 253 nt
Filed under: uncultured bacterium
Lineage: Bacteria
Description: partial 16S ribosomal RNA
Rfam family: Bacterial small subunit ribosomal RNA
Source: RNAcentral